GGAAGCGUGGCAGAGCGGUUGAAUGCAGCAGUCUUGAAAACUGCCGAGGAUGCAAGUCCUCCGUGAGUUCGAAUCUCACCGCUUCCG
This 87-nucleotide transfer RNA is filed under the name Polaromonas sp. Pch-P. It matches the Rfam family "tRNA". From Rfam's summary of the family: Transfer RNA (tRNA) molecules are approximately 80 nucleotides in length. Their secondary structure includes four short double-helical elements and three loops (D, anti-codon, and T loops). Lineage: Bacteria; Pseudomonadati; Pseudomonadota; Betaproteobacteria; Burkholderiales; Comamonadaceae. The record is from Rfam by way of RNAcentral.